This is a small nuclear RNA of Nycticebus coucang (slow loris), 107 nucleotides long. NCBI's taxonomy places the organism in Eukaryota, Metazoa, Chordata, Mammalia, Primates, Lorisidae. The record is from RefSeq and is a predicted model, not a curated record.
GUGCUUGCUUCGGCAGCAUAUAUAUUAAAACUGGAACAAUACAGAAAAGAUUAGCAUGGGCCCUGUGCAAGAAUGACAUGCAAAUUUGUGAAGCAGUCCAUAUUUUU